Long non-coding RNA from Nyctereutes procyonoides (raccoon dog), 829 nucleotides. RefSeq lists it as uncharacterized. NCBI's taxonomy places the organism in Eukaryota, Metazoa, Chordata, Mammalia, Carnivora, Canidae. The transcript is spliced from 2 exons. The record is from RefSeq and is a predicted model, not a curated record.
GCGCCGAGCGCGGAGGUUCCCGGGCGCCGCGGCCCCCUGGCAGCGGGGAGACAAAGGGGUGGACGGACUCGCAACCGGGCCCCCGACCCGCGCCGCCGACGGCGGUCGGAACCAGCUGGCGGCAGCCCCGAGACGUGGACUUGCUUGCAAUGCAAAACUGCACGCCCCGCCCUUUGCCCUCCCGGGAGAGCUUGGUUUUGAGACGCCGAGGAAAAGCCACGAGAGAAGCAAAAUAGCCUCCUGACCAAGUAUUCCUCUGCGUCGAAGAGACAGUCAAUGUUGUAGUAAUUGCUUUAAACUAAGUGGAAAUUUGGAGAAAGUUCAAGUGGAGUUUUAUCUUCAUCUGGGUCUAACUGGAAUACCUACUCACAUUCAAUGAAAACAUUCUAGUGGCUUGUUUUUGGGGGUUUUUUUGUUGUUGUUGUUGCUUUUUUUUUUUAGAAUCAGAAAUAAGCAGAGAGCCUCAGGAUGGUAAAUUUUCUAAUGAAACCAACUAGACACAAAAAUAUGAAUUGUAUGAUUUUUUGUAUUAUUGGUCUCCAUAAAGAAACCACAAUAUAAAAACCUUUAUUAAUGCUUUUAUUAAAUUUCAAGACAGCAAAGAUUUUAAUAAAGUACCCAGAAACUCAAGAUAGAAAUAGCUAUUGCCGAGAACCUAACAUGAACUCUGCCUGUGAACAGCGAUUAAGAGAGACUAAUAGCAGUGAUACAUGCCACUCAGAAAUGAAAGAACCCUAGUAAUUAUGAACUUCAAACAAAUCUAGCAAAUUAGUAUUAAUUUUGUUUGUAUGAAAUGUGUUCAUGAUAAUAAAAACAUCUAAAUUCUUGA